Long non-coding RNA from Lates calcarifer (barramundi perch), 1423 nucleotides. RefSeq lists it as uncharacterized. The record is from RefSeq and is a predicted model, not a curated record. Lineage: Eukaryota; Metazoa; Chordata; Actinopteri; Centropomidae. The transcript is spliced from 2 exons.
AGAGGCGGUGCACACCCUGAACAGAAGGAGAGAAAUGAGACAGGAGGAUCUCUAAACCUGGACAAAGUAAACUGAAGCUAUUUCCAUGUCUAGAUGACAGGAAACAUGGGGAGAGAGAUGAGUAACAUGUUGAGAUCUUAAGUGCUAAAGGUGAAGGGAAGUGGACUUCUCUUUAGAUUUUUUGAUGAUGUUUCACCUCUCAUCCGAAAGGCUUCCUCAGUUCUAAAAAUUGGCUGGACAGUCCCAAGUUAACGUUUUGGAGAGUCGUUAACCCACCCUGUCGUUAUGUGAGUCGUUAGGGUUACAUGAGCCCAGGUGUGACUCGUUGGUGGGUUGCUGCCCCACUCUGACAUCAUGUGAGUCGUUAGGGUCACGUGGCUCCAGGUGUGAAUGAGGGUUAAAUCGCCUGGGUGAGGAUCUCAAGGCUGCAUUACAGGUGGCUGAUAGUUGGUGUCGUUGGCCACCACCUCUGUUUAAAGAUGGACGUUCCACGUGGACAUAGAUGGCCUCACACCAUCUGUCCUCUCUAACAUGUUGAAGCUUCAGUCAGAUCCUAACUGGAGAUGUUGUGGUUAAAGGUUAGCGCCCUGACCUCCGGAACCAAACUUUUUUAGUGUGAUGUGACCACAUUUCACACGUACAAAUCUUUCUGUCUUUCACCUAAAACAGAAAAAGCAGAGGCCACGGCGACUGACUCAGAGCCCAAAACAGAGGAGGCACCAGCUCCCAGUGAGUGAGGUGCGACGUGAAUGACUCCACAGUUUGGAAGUGUCUCACUUUGUCUGUAUGCAUGAGUGAAAGUAUGUCUUCAUAUGUGUGUGUGUGUGUGUGUGUGUGUGUGUGUGUGAAACAGACACCAACUUGUUGCCAAGAUGCAGACCCUGUGAUAACCGCUUUCAGUCAGGGUUCCCCAGUCAUCACUGUGCCUUCUCCCCCCUCCCCAUGAUGGUGUAUGGCUGCAAUUUCUGCUUUGAAAACUGUACAUAGACAGAAUCUUAGUAGGUGUGUUUAGCUUCAGAGGGUGUAAUCAUUUCAGAAUACCUUAAAUUAUUGAUUCAAAUUUCUAUUUAAGUGUAUAGAAAUUUAUAAAAGCAGAUGUAUUGUAACUUCAUCCUAAGAGUUCAUUCUGUAGUUUUCUACAAAAUUACAAUUCAAAGGAAACCAAAGCCAAAAUAUAUUUGAUUUAUAAAAUUAUAUUCCGUUUAGGUAGCUGGCUUUGAUUUUACAACCAUGUUUGUAAUGAAUAUGAAGAGCUGGUCCACUGCAGGUUUACUGAGGACUGACUUUAAACAUCUGAUGAAUACAAAUGAGUUAACAGUAAAUGUAAGAGCCUUUUUUGUUGUUUCUGAUGUGUCAUGAUUUCUCUCUGGAAAGAAAAUCUGUAAUACGCUGUCAAAAAAUUAAAAGGGCCACCUUAAAAUCA